Molecule: ribosomal RNA, 448 nt
Filed under: uncultured bacterium
Lineage: Bacteria
Description: bacterial SSU rRNA
Rfam family: Bacterial small subunit ribosomal RNA
Source: RNAcentral
AACGAACGCUGGCGGCAGGCCUAACACAUGCAAGUCGAACGCUCCGCAAGGGGAGUGGCAGACGGGUGAGUAACACGUGGGAAUCUUCCUGUUGGUACGGAAUAGCUCAGGGAAACUUGGGGUAAUACCGUAUAAGCCCGAGAGGGGAAAGAUUUAUCGCCGACAGAUGAGCCCGCGUCUGAUUAGCUAGUUGGUGAGGUAAUGGCUCACCAAGGCGACGAUCAGUAGCNGGUCUGAGAGGAUGACCAGCCACACUGGGACUGAGACACGGCCCAGACUCCUACGGGAGGCAGCAGUGGGGAAUAUUGGACAAUGGGCGCAAGCCUGAUCCAGCCAUGCCGCGUGAGUGACGAAGGUCUUCGGAUUGUAAAGCUCUUUUGCCAGGGACGAUAAUGACGGUACUGGAGAAUAAGCCCCGGCUAACUUCGUGCCAGCCGCCGCCGUAAAC